AGACUAUGAUGUGUAGCCGGGUGAGAGGUUGAACGGCCACAUUGGGACUGAGACACGGCCCAAACUCCUACGGGAGGCAGCAGUAGGGAAUUUUCGGCAAUGGAGGAAACUCUGACCGAGCAACGCCGCGUGAACGAUGAAGUAUUUCGGUACGUAAAGUUCUUUUAUUAGGGAAGAAUAAAUGAUGGAAAAAUCAUUCUGACGGUACCUAAUGAAUAAGCCCCGGCUAACUAUGUGCCAGCAGCCGCGGUAAUACAUAGGGGGCAAGCGUUAUCCGGAAUUAUUGGGCGUAAAGGGUGCGUAGGCGGUUAAAUAAGUUUAUGGUCUAAGUGCAAUGCUCAACAUUGUGAUGCUAUAAAAACUGUUUAGCUAGAGUAAGAUAGAGGCAAGUGGAAUUCCAUGUGUAGUGGUAAAAUGCGUAAAUAUAUGGAGGAACACCAGUAGCGAAGGCGGCUUGCUGGGUCUUUACUGAGCUGAGGCACGAAAGCGUGGGGAGCAAACAGGAUUAGAUACCCUGGUAGUCCACGCCGUAAACGAUGAGUACUAAACGUUGGGUAAAACCAGUGUUGAAGUUAACACAUUAAGUACUCCGCCUGAGUAGUACGUACGCAAGUAUGAAACUUAAAGGAAUUGACGGGACUCCGCACAAGCGGUGGAUCAUGUUGUUUAAUUCGAAGGUACCCGAAAAACCUCACCAGGUCUUGACAUGCUUCUGCAAAGCUGUAGAAACACAGUGGAGGUUAUCAGUUGCACAGGUGGUGCAUGGUGUCGUCAGCUCGUGUCGUGAGAUGUUGGGUUAAGUCCCGCAACGAGCGCAACCCUUAUUGUUAGUUACCAGCACUAAUGGUGGGGACUUUAGCAAGACUGCCAGUGAUAAAUUGGAGGAAGGUGGGGACGACGUCAAAUCAUCAUGCCCCUUAUGAC
RNAcentral lists this ribosomal RNA (924 nucleotides) under 'Vigna radiata' phytoplasma. RNAcentral describes it as "bacterial SSU rRNA". It matches the Rfam family "Bacterial small subunit ribosomal RNA", at positions 271 to 1208 of the family's 1533-position model. Lineage: Bacteria; Bacillati; Mycoplasmatota; Mollicutes; Acholeplasmatales; Acholeplasmataceae. The record is from RNAcentral.